This 142-nucleotide ribosomal RNA is filed under the name uncultured bacterium. Its description in RNAcentral is "partial 16S rRNA". It matches the Rfam family "Bacterial small subunit ribosomal RNA", at positions 355 to 511 of the family's 1533-position model. The record is from RNAcentral.
UGGGGAAUUUUCCGCAAUGGGCGAAAGCCUGACGGAGCAAUGCCGCGUGGAGGUGGAAGGCCUACGGGUCGUCAACUUCUUUUCUCGGAGAAGAAACAAUGACGGUAUCUGAGAAAUAAGCAAUCGGCUAACUCUGUGCCAG